UUCCCUCUGCUGGAAUCGACAGGUGCGACCAUGAAUCCCGAGUAGCCACGAACCAGGGGCGCGAGUGACACGCCGCGGUGUGCUAGGCCCGGAUCUCGAUCACCGGGAAGCCUAAAGCGGUACCGAGCGCCCCACCUAGCGUCGAGCUAGGGGUUCACGUCGCUCACCACCGUUUCUGGCGGUACGGAA
This 189-nucleotide non-coding RNA is filed under the name Polyangiaceae bacterium. RNAcentral describes it as "6S RNA". It matches the Rfam family "6S / SsrS RNA". Rfam says of the family: E. coli 6S RNA was the first non coding RNA to be sequenced, but its function was unknown until recently. It consists of 184 nucleotides that fold into an extended hairpin structure with a large single-stranded internal bulge. Lineage: Bacteria; Pseudomonadati; Myxococcota; Polyangiales; Polyangiaceae. The record is from RNAcentral.